GGUUUUAUGAAUUAAAAUAUAAAAUCUGGCCUGCUCUAUGUCUAAUAAAUGGCCGCGGUAUUAUGACCGUGCGAAGGUAGCAUAAUAAUUAGGCUAUUAAUUGUAGUCUUGUAUGAAAGGUUGGACGUGGGAUAUUCUUUCUUAUUUGUAUGGAUGAAUUUAAAUAACCAGUAAAAAUGCUGGUAUAAUAUAGAAAGACGAGAAGACCCUAUUGAGUUUUAUAUUUGAAUUAUUUUUAUAUUUGAUUGGGGCGAUUUUUAAGAAACAUGAUUUGUUGGUGAUCCAUUAAUAGUGAUUAAUAGAAUAAAUUACCAUAGGGAUAACAGCAUUAUUUAGUUGGAGAGUUCAUAUUAAUAACUAAGUUUGUGACCUCGAUGUUGGAUUAAGAUUCCUUGUGGGUGCAGGUGCUUUAUGAGGUAAACUGUUCGUCUAUUAAAAUCUUACA
This 445-nucleotide ribosomal RNA is filed under the name Scolopendra subspinipes. Its description in RNAcentral is "partial 16S ribosomal RNA". It matches the Rfam family "Bacterial large subunit ribosomal RNA", at positions 1819 to 2600 of the family's 2925-position model. The record is from RNAcentral. Lineage: Eukaryota; Metazoa; Arthropoda; Chilopoda; Scolopendromorpha; Scolopendridae.